UGGGGAAUUUUGGACAAUGGGCGCAAGCCUGAUCCAGCAAUGCCGCGUGUGUGACGAAGGCCUUCGGGUUGUAAAGCACUUUUGUUCGGGAAGAAAUCCGCCGGGCUAAUAUCCUGGCGGGAUGACGGUACCGGAAGAAUAAGCACCGGCUAACUACGUGCCAGCAGCCGCGGUAAUACGUAGGGUGCGAGCGUUAAUCGGAAUUACUGGGCGUAAAGCGUGCGCAGGCGGCGCUGUAAGACAGAUGUGA
This 250-nucleotide ribosomal RNA is filed under the name uncultured bacterium. RNAcentral describes it as "partial 16S ribosomal RNA". It matches the Rfam family "Bacterial small subunit ribosomal RNA", at positions 355 to 597 of the family's 1533-position model. The record is from RNAcentral.